UGAUUUUGCUGCCCCAAAAGUCUUCACACUUUCUUAUUUUCUUGGCUGCAUCAGAUCAGAAGUCCAGCCCCUCUCUCUCUACUCCUUUUCCUCUUUCUUUGUUCUUCUUUCUCUCUUCUUCUGUUGCUUCUACACGGCAGCCCUCCCUUUCUCACCAACACAAUACAUUCCUCUCUAAAGAUGAAAUUAAACAAUUAACCCUAAGGUUUCAGCUUCAAAUUGUGGUGGGUGUUACCAGUUUCCCAAGUUUAAGCUCCGUCGACUGUAGGCUCUCGGUUCCUCUGCUUUCAGUUAACAGGUUUUAUUUUGGAGCAGAGGGAGCCUUAGUCGAGUUUGGAAGGAGUUGGUUUUAGUUUUAUAUGUAUAGAUCCUAAACUAGCAUUCUGACGUUUAGCGUUAUAGUUAUUGUGUAUUCUAGGAUCUAAUGAAAGUGUAUACCUUAAAGUAUUAAGAGAUGUAUUAUGUGAAAUUCCGAAUUUGAACAAUUGGUGAAUUAGGUUAUUCUUUGGAGUACAUUGUAGAUGCUCUGAAUGUCAAGUGAAAGGUUAUAUCAUUUAAGUAUAGAAAAAAGAAAAUUAUUCUAAAAUCAAAAAGAGAAGCUUUUGGAAAAGUUUUGUAAAAGUUAAGUUGGUUCUUGUUAAUAUCAGGUUUAGGCUUGAUAUUAGCAUGCCGGUCAUGGUCACAAAUCCGGGUACCGGGUUUGGGGCGUGACAAUUAUGGUUUAUUUAUUUUUGGAUAAGUAUAAUCAGAGUCUUAUUUUUUAACUUUAUUAAUGCAUCUUUGGCCAUUAACAUAUGGUUCUUGAGUCUUACUUUUAAAAAUCUUUGACUUACAUAUAAAUUCUAAAUAAGAUUUCCAGUAGUCCUUUUUUUUCCCCCUCUGUUUUUUCCAAUUAUUCUUUUGGGUAGAAAGUUCUUGCUUUAAACUGUAUUUUCACUGCAUUCCUCAUGUUCGGUUGUCUUAAGCUCAUGAAGAGAAAUUAGUGCUCAAAGUCAUAACAUCCUAGUACUACCUGUUGAAAAAUUUUGUCUGUCUUCUUUUAUGUUAUUGGGAACGCAACUUGAUCAUUUGUGUUACCUAAGUUAGCAAUAUCUAUUUGAAUUUGUGAUUGUACUCAUAUAGUCAUGACUCAUAAGUUACUCUUUUGUUAUUCACUAUUGCAUGUCCAUAUACUUAUACAAUAGCACUUUAUGUAGUUUUUCUCCUUAAUCAUAUGUGUGGAGGGAUGAACCUCUCCCUUAGAAGGUAUUAUCCGCUUUGGGUGAAAACCCUCAUAGAUUUGCUUAAUCCCACAUCGGGGAGAGACGCCUUCCACCUUCAGCUUAUAAGCGUUGGGCCUAAAUGAAGGUGUACCAUUGUGUGUGUGGAAGCAGUAGAUGAGAUGGAAUUAUGUGACUCAAUUCAAAACAUGAAACUACUUCACUACUUGUUUAUCAUGACAACUAAUGUUUUGUGAAGGAAGCAUAUCUAAUUGCAUACUUAAUGAGAAGAUGCUAUGGGAGCCUCUGACGGUCCAAGGCUUUCUGAAAUGCAGAAGCAAGUACUUUAGACUAUAUAGAGGGAAUUUGAAUGCAGCUUGUUCCAAAUCUGCUGAAGAUUGAUGUAAGAUUCAAACAACUGUGUCAGCUGAGUUCUGUGUAAUUCCAAGCAAGUAGUAGAUUGGGAAAUUUUCCUCUACAUUGAGUACUUACUUCAUCGUGGUAAGAAAUAACCGGAUCAGCUCAGGAGCCCUGAUACAAUUGGGUGGUUGUCAUUCAAAGUCAGUGUGUCUAAAAUCAUAAAUCUCAAGCCUUGAACUAAGACAUUUAUUUGAUUCCUAUUCUGUUUUGGAGCUGAAAUUUGUUUCUUUCAUUAUUUAAAUCUCCUGUCCAAAUUCUUUGUAUUUGUAAAUUAAGAUAUGGUAUACUGCUUCAACAGUUGCAAAUC
Quercus robur (English oak) is the source of this 1926-nucleotide long non-coding RNA. RefSeq lists it as uncharacterized. The transcript is spliced from 4 exons. The record is from RefSeq and is a predicted model, not a curated record. Lineage: Eukaryota; Viridiplantae; Streptophyta; Magnoliopsida; Fagales; Fagaceae.